RNAcentral lists this ribosomal RNA (157 nucleotides) under Pratylenchus vulnus (walnut meadow nematode). RNAcentral's name for it is "5.8S ribosomal RNA". It matches the Rfam family "5.8S ribosomal RNA". From Rfam's summary of the family: 5.8S ribosomal RNA (5.8S rRNA) is a component of the large subunit of the eukaryotic ribosome. Lineage: Eukaryota; Metazoa; Nematoda; Chromadorea; Rhabditida; Pratylenchidae. The record is from RNAcentral.
CUAGUCUUAUCGGUGGAUCACUCGGCUCGUAGGUCGAUGAAGAACGCAGCUAACUGCGAUAAAUAGUGCGAACUGCAGAAACAUUGAGCACAAAACAUUCGAAUGCACAUUGCGCCAUUGGAGUCUCUUCCUUUGGCACGCCUUGUUCAGGGUCGUC